AUAUUGGACAAUGGGCGAAAGCCUGAUCCAGCCAUGCCGCGUGAGUGAUGAAGGCCUUAGGGUUGUAAAGCUCUUUUACCCGGGAAGAUAAUGACGGUACCGGGAGAAUAAGCCCCGGCUAACUUCGUGCCAGCAGCCGCGGUAAUACGAAGGGGGCUAGCGUUGCUCGGAAUUACUGGGCGUAAAGCGCACGUAGGCGGAUCUUUAAGUCAGGGGUGAAAUCCCGGAGCUCAACUCCGGAACUGCCUCUGAUACUGGGGAUCUUGAGUUCGAGAGAGGUGAGUGGAACUGCGAGUGUAGAGGUGAAAUUCGUAGAUAUUCGCAAGAACACCAGUGGCGAAGGCGGCUCACUGGCUCGAUACUGACGCUGAGGUGCGAAAGCGUGGGGAGCAAACAGG
RNAcentral lists this ribosomal RNA (398 nucleotides) under uncultured bacterium. Its description in RNAcentral is "bacterial SSU rRNA". It matches the Rfam family "Bacterial small subunit ribosomal RNA", at positions 361 to 776 of the family's 1533-position model. The record is from RNAcentral.